AUAUCAGUAAGCGGAGGAAAAGAAACUAACAAGGAUUCCCCUAGUAACGGCGAGUGAAGCGGGAAAAGCUCAAUUUUGAAAUCUCGCGGGUUUCCCGUGCGAAUUGUAGUUUAUGAAGCGUUUUCGGGGACUCCCUGGGUGUAAGUCCUUUGGAAUGAGGCGUCAGAGAGGGUGAGAAUCCCGUCCUUAACCCGGUGUGGGUCCCUAUGUGAUGCGUCUUCUAAGAGUCGGAUAGCUUGGGAAUGCUGUCCAAAAUGGGUGGUAAAUACCAUCUAAAGCUAAAUAUUGGCGAGAGACCGAUAGCGCACAAGUA
This 313-nucleotide ribosomal RNA is filed under the name uncultured Irineochytrium. RNAcentral's name for it is "partial large subunit ribosomal RNA". It matches the Rfam family "Eukaryotic large subunit ribosomal RNA", at positions 40 to 350 of the family's 3401-position model. The record is from RNAcentral. Lineage: Eukaryota; Fungi; Chytridiomycota; Chytridiomycetes; Chytridiales; Chytridiaceae.